This 815-nucleotide ribosomal RNA is filed under the name uncultured alveolate. RNAcentral's name for it is "bacterial SSU rRNA". It matches the Rfam family "Eukaryotic small subunit ribosomal RNA", at positions 63 to 888 of the family's 1831-position model. The record is from RNAcentral.
GUAUAGCUUUUAACGGCGAAACUGCGAAUGGCUCAUUAAAACAGUUAUAGUUUAUUUGAUAGUUAAUGAAUUACAUGGAUAACUGUAGUAAUUCUAGAGCUAAUACAUGCGCAAACACUCGACUUUUUGGAAGAGUUGUGCUUAUUAGAUACAGAACUGACCUAAGGUAUCCCCUUAGUAUUGUCGGUGAUUCAUAAUAAUCAAUCGGAUCGCACAGAUUUCUGGCGACACAUCAUUCAAGUUUCUGACCUAUCAGCUAUCGUCGGUAGGGUAUUGGCCUACCGAGGCAAUGACGGGUAACGGAGAAUUAGGGUUCGAUUCCGGAGAGGGAGCCUGAGAAACGGCUACCACAUCUAAGGAUGGCAGCAGGCGCGCAAAUUACCCAAUCCUGACACAGGGAGGUAGUGACAAGAAAUAACAAUAUAGGGCAAUUUUGUCUUGUAAUUGGAAUGAGUGAAGUUUAAAUCUCUUCACGAGUACCAAUUGGAGGGCAAGUCUGGUGCCAGCAGCCGCGGUAAUUCCAGCUCCAAUAGCGUAUAUUAAAGUUGUUGCGGUUAAAAAGCUCGUAGUUGGAUUUCUGUUGAGGUUGACCGGUCUUCCUUUAAGGAUUGAUCUGGUUCGACCGAAACAUCUUUUAGGAGAAGCUUUAUUCUUAAUUGAAUUCUGAAUAUCUUAAACUUUUACUUUGAGGAAAUUAGAGUGUUUCAAGCAGGCGUAUGCCUUGAAUAUAUUAGCAUGGAAUAAUAUGAUAGGACUUUGGUUCUAUUUUGUUGGUUUUUAGAGCUAAAGUAAUGAUUAAUAGGGACAGUCGGGGG